UAUGGAGAGUUUGAUCCUGGCUCAGGAUGAACGCUGGCGGCGUGCCUAAUACAUGCAAGUCGAGCGAACGGACGAGAAGCUUGCUUCUCUGAUGUUAGCGGCGGACGGGUGAGUAACACGUGGAUAACCUACCUAUAAGACUGGGAUAACUUCGGGAAACCGGAGCUAAUACCGGAUAAUAUUUUGAACCGCAUGGUUCAAAAGUGAAAGACGGUCUUGCUGUCACUUAUAGAUGGAUCCGCGCUGCAUUAGCUAGUUGGUAAGGUAACGGCUUACCAAGGCAACGAUGCAUAGCCGACCUGAGAGGGUGAUCGGCCACACUGGAACUGAGACACGGUCCAGACUCCUACGGGAGGCAGCAGUAGGGAAUCUUCCGCAAUGGGCGAAAGCCUGACGGAGCAACGCCGCGUGAGUGAUGAAGGUCUUCGGAUCGUAAAACUCUGUUAUUAGGGAAGAACAUAUGUGUAAGUAACUGUGCACAUCUUGACGGUACCUAAUCAGAAAGCCACGGCUAACUACGUGCCAGCAGCCGCGGUAAUACGUAGGUGGCAAGCGUUAUCCGGAAUUAUUGGGCGUAAAGCGCGCGUAGGCGGUUUUUUAAGUCUGAUGUGAAAGCCCACGGCUCAACCGUGGAGGGUCAUUGGAAACUGGAAAACUUGAGUGCAGAAGAGGAAAGUGGAAUUCCAUGUGUAGCGGUGAAAUGCGCAGAGAUAUGGAGGAACACCAGUGGCGAAGGCGACUUUCUGGUCUGUAACUGACGCUGAUGUGCGAAAGCGUGGGGAUCAAACAGGAUUAGAUACCCUGGUAGUCCACGCCGUAAACG
This 823-nucleotide ribosomal RNA is filed under the name Staphylococcus aureus. RNAcentral's name for it is "bacterial SSU rRNA". It matches the Rfam family "Bacterial small subunit ribosomal RNA", at positions 1 to 808 of the family's 1533-position model. The record is from RNAcentral. Lineage: Bacteria; Bacillati; Bacillota; Bacilli; Caryophanales; Staphylococcaceae.